Osmerus eperlanus (European smelt) is the source of this 234-nucleotide small nucleolar RNA. RefSeq annotates it as small nucleolar RNA SNORA53. The record is from RefSeq and is a predicted model, not a curated record. The transcript has a single exon. Lineage: Eukaryota; Metazoa; Chordata; Actinopteri; Osmeriformes; Osmeridae.
GACACGCUCCUUAGAUCCACCUCUAGGGGGCGCUCCAGGUCUGGGGCUGCUGUCUUUGUGCUGCUGUCUCAGCCUGGACGCCCUCAGCAGCUUCCUGGCUGUACAGUUAGAGGUGCUUGAGUCAUUGGCGUGUGAGAACAGUCUACCUGCUCCUCAGCCCCCCCACUGCACUGGCAACCCACCAGGUUAACUGGCAGGAUUCUCCCAGGGCAGACAGGCUGGGGAGCGGACACU